RNAcentral lists this ribosomal RNA (460 nucleotides) under uncultured bacterium. Its description in RNAcentral is "partial 16S ribosomal RNA". It matches the Rfam family "Bacterial small subunit ribosomal RNA", at positions 338 to 795 of the family's 1533-position model. The record is from RNAcentral.
CCUACGGGUGGCAGCAGUGAGGAAUAUUGGUCAAUGGACGAGAGUCUGAACCAGCCAAGUAGCGUGAUGGAUGACUGCCCUAUGGGUUGUAAACUUCUUUUAUAUGGGAAUAAAAUGUUCCACGUGUGGGAUUUUGUAUGUACCAUAUGAAUAAGGAUCGGCUAACUCCGUGCCAGCAGCCGCGGUAAUACGGCGGAUCCGAGCGUUAUCCGGAUUUAUUGGGGUUAAAGGGAGCGUAGGUGGCUUGUUAAGUCAGUUGUGAAAGUUUGCGGGUCAACCGUAAAAUUGCAGUUGAAACUGGCAGUCUUGAGUACAGUAGAGGUCGGCGGAAUUCGUGGUGUAGCGGUGAAAUGCUUAGAUAUCACGAAGAACUCCGAUUGCGAAGGCAGUUCACUGGACUGCAACUGACACUGAGGCUCGAAAGUGUGGGUAUCAAACAGGAUUAGAUACCCCAGUAGUC